This is a long non-coding RNA of Cyclopterus lumpus (lumpfish), 509 nucleotides long. RefSeq lists it as uncharacterized. The record is from RefSeq and is a predicted model, not a curated record. The transcript has 5 exons. NCBI's taxonomy places the organism in Eukaryota, Metazoa, Chordata, Actinopteri, Perciformes, Cyclopteridae.
CUGGUCACUUCAGUAAAGUUAAGUGAAUUUAUAUCUUGCAAAAAUAUUGAAGAUCAGCAAAGGACCAUAAGCAGUGCAUCACCUGUGAGAUCAUGAGAAGGCUGAAGAACCAGGAGUGACCCUAAGCAGUGCAUCACCUGUGAGAUCAUGAGAAGGCUGAAGAACCAGGAGUGACCCUAAGCAGUGCAUCACCUGUGAGAUCAUGAGAAGGCUGAAGAACCAGGAGUGACAAGAUACCACCGGAUGGUGGGACACAGAAUUAAACCCAGGGACAGUGAUCUGAAAAUGCCUGUUCACCGAUGUUCCCCAUCCAAACUGACAGCUUGAGAGGAUCUGCAGAGAAUGGCAGAAAAUCCCCAAAUCCAGAUCAAGCAUUGGAACAACGUUUACGGAGAACAGGCACCCAACAACACCCAAAGUCCAUCACUAAUGCACCAAGGAUCAGGCUGAUUACUGACGAUUUGGAAGAUUGUUCUUUAUCUGCACUGUCACUUAUGGUAAAGAUUCAU